ACCUGCGGAAGGAUCAUUGUCGUUACCAUAACCUAAAAUAGACUGUGAACAUGUCAUCUAAGCUGCCGGUUGAUGGGUCUUGCACCUAUCUCUCGGUCGAGGCCACCAUUCUUCUUUUGGAGGGAUGGUGUGCCUAAAGAACCCACGGCGCUGUAUGGCGUCAAGGAAAACAGUUAUUGCCUUGCUUGGGGCCACGACCGGCUUGCCGGACGUACUACCAGCAGCGAUGUUUGGAAAUUAACAUGACUCUCGGCAACGGAUAUCUCGGCUCUUGCAUCGAUGAAGAACGUAGCAAAAUGCGAUACCUGGUGUGAAUUGCAGAAUCCCGUGAACCAUCGAGUUUUUGAACGCAAGUUGCGCCUGAGGCCUUUUGGUCGAGGGCACGUCUGCCUGGGCGUCACGCCAAAAGACACUCCACACCAAACCCGGUCUGGAUGUGGUGUUUGGCCCCUCAUCCCAGCAGGUAUGAUGGGCCAAAGAGGCGGCUGCCGGCGGUGCCGAUCACAGCACAUGGUGGAUGACCCAAGUUAUUCUCGGUGUUUUGAUCAUGGCAACUCUCGGUCAUGUGAAGCCCCUUAAGACCCAUGUAUUUGAGCGCAUGUUGCUUGGACCGCGACCCCAGGUCAGUCGGGACUACCCGCUGAAUUUAAGCAUAUCAAUAAGCGG
Molecule: ribosomal RNA, 666 nt
Filed under: Eustachys distichophylla
Lineage: Eukaryota; Viridiplantae; Streptophyta; Magnoliopsida; Poales; Poaceae
Description: eukaryotic LSU rRNA
Rfam family: 5.8S ribosomal RNA (bases 245-400)
Source: RNAcentral